This 549-nucleotide ribosomal RNA is filed under the name uncultured bacterium. RNAcentral describes it as "bacterial SSU rRNA". It matches the Rfam family "Bacterial small subunit ribosomal RNA", at positions 356 to 896 of the family's 1533-position model. The record is from RNAcentral.
GGGGAAUCUUCCGCAAUGGACGAAAGUCUGACGGAGCAACGCCGCGUGAGUGAUGACGGCCUUCGGGUUGUAAAGCUCUGUUAAUCGGGACGAAUGGUUCUUGUGCGAAUAGUGCGAGGAUUUGACGGUACCGGAAUAGAAAGCCACGGCUAACUACGUGCCGGCAGCCGCGGUAAUACGUAGGUGGCAAGCGUUGUCCGGAAUUAUUGGGCGUAAAGCGCGCGCAGGCGGAUUGGUCAGUCUGUCUUAAAAGUUCGGGGCUUAACCCCGUGAUGGGAUGGAAACUGCCAAUCUAGAGUAUCGGAGAGGAAAGUGGAAUUCCUAGUGUAGCGGUGAAAUGCGUAGAUAUUAGGAAGAACACCAGUGGCGAAGGCGACUUUCUGGACGAAAACUGACGCUGAGGCGCGAAAGCCAGGGGAGCGAACGGGAUUAGAUACCCCGGUAGUCCUGGCCGUAAACGAUGGGUACUAGGUGUAGGAGGUAUCGACCCCUUCUGUGCCGGGGUUAACGCAAUAAGUACCCCGCCUGGGGAGUACGACCGCAAGGUUG